Molecule: long non-coding RNA, 1148 nt
Filed under: Mus musculus (house mouse)
Lineage: Eukaryota; Metazoa; Chordata; Mammalia; Rodentia; Muridae
Description: long non-coding RNA chr6:8458316-8459464
Source: RNAcentral
UGAGCCACCUCCAGAAAUACUUGCCAUAGAACUGAAAUAGAAAUGAUUACAUGAGUAAAUUAUCACCCACACUCCUUGCAGGCACCAUUUCAUACCACAAGCCCUUUCUCUCUUCAGGGAAUAAUGGUUUUACAUUUUACUUGUGACGACACUCUAAUUGCCAAAUAUAAUAGGGGCACUAUACUGAAAAGUUAAAAGAUUCCAAGUGAGAAGAUAAGUCAAAUAUAGUAAUAUCAUCCACCAGUGAAUCUUUAAAGCAUGCUCCUGUCUUCUUCCUCCCACCGCCACCCCCCCCCCCCAAUCCUAAGCAUACACGCAAUCGCAGAAAUGGAAUAGCAUAGUUGAGAAAAAAUAACAAGCAUUCUAAAAUUCUACUAGCUGUUGAUUCUAGCUAUGACCCUUUGUCCAAAUUUGGCCAAGUGCUUAUUUUUAGAAAUAAAAUUUUAUUGGAAAAUAGCAAUGCCUCUUUGUUUGGCUGCUGUUACCAAUGCCAGACCAACCAUGUGGUCUAAAGCCAAAAACAUUACUCACUAUUGACAAAAAAAAAAAAAAAAAAAAAAAAAGUUAUUGACCCAGUCCACCUAUUCACUUAAGUGAGAAAUCUGUCCUGAGGAUUGGAGGCCUCUCAAAGAAACACAUUCCAACAGAACAGAGGCAGCAUGAAAAGGCCUCGACUUUACUAACUCCUGCCCCAACCAAAGCGUCAGGACUUUAGAGAAGAACGUUGGUAUAAGCUUGCAUCUCAUUACAGUUUUCAAAGACCCCUUUCAAAUGGCACAGGCACCCUUGAGUAAGUAAUAAAACAGAAGUUUGCUUUGAUGUUAGUCCAAAAUGUAUAGAUGACAUAUUUCCACACACCUAUGAAGUAUACCAGUAGCCCAAGACUGGGGGCUGUUUCUAUACUAAGUUCAUGGAUGAAAGAAUUAAUGGAUUUUUUUUCUUUUAGAAAAUAUACUAGCAUUACAUCAGGCUGUAUUUUCUGAUGUGCAGAGCCUAAAAAAAAAUCACGAUUGGUGGCAUGAAUUCUGAUUUUUCUCAAGCUAAAGUUACAAAACUGUCAAAAGCAUGUGUGACUGAACAUGUGUCUGUAAGUUUAUGUACAUUUACAUUUUAUGUCCCUGUUUAAAAUAAAAUUGUAUAAUAUUGGU